RNAcentral lists this unclassified non-coding RNA (4630 nucleotides) under Leishmania donovani. Its description in RNAcentral is "gene:LdHU3.32.0880(CDS-product:OSM3-like_kinesin_ putative)". Lineage: Eukaryota; Euglenozoa; Kinetoplastea; Trypanosomatida; Trypanosomatidae. The record is from RNAcentral.
UCAAGGGUACCCCUCCCUCACCCUCACCCACAGACAUAUUUCACCGAAGGCUGAGAGAGAGCCGCGCACCAACAUUUACGUUAUUAUUAUUUUUUUUUCGUCUUCUCCAUAGCGCAGUAAACACAAAAUGGUGAAAGCGAACUCCGGGGCCGAGAACAUCCGCGUCGUCAUCCGCUGCCGCGACAUCCUCCCGUACGAGGCGGAGCGCGGUGACAAGGCGCUCGUUCGCCUCGAUCUGGCAACGAACCAGGUGGUGGUGCAGCACCCCAUCGGCGACGCCGAUGUGUUUGCCUUCGACGCCGUCUACAACAACUCCUUCACCCAGCGCGACAUCUUCCUGCAGGAGGUGCAGCCUCUGGCGGAUGCGGUGCUGCAAGGCUACAACGCUACCGUCUUCGCCUACGGUCAAUCCGGGUCCGGUAAGACGCACACGAUGACAGGUAAGCUGAGCCAGCGGAACAUGUGGGGUAUGAUGCCGCAGGUAGUCGACUACCUCUUCUCCGAGAUCAAGAAGCUCACAUCGUCCACGAAGACCUUUAAGGUGAAGGUGUCCUACGUGGAGCUGUACAACGGCAAGUCACGCGACUUGCUCUCCUCGAAGCAGGUAAACCUGGAGAUCAAGCAGAACACGUCCAAGAACUUCUACGUGAAGGGUGCGGAGAUGCCAGAGGUGACUAGCUUCGAGGAUGCCAUCAAAUGGUUCAACGCUGGCACGGAGAGGCGGCAGACGGCCUCGACCGACCUAAAUGACACAAGCAGCCGCAGUCACUCACUCUUCACAGUGCAGAUUGAGCACUUCGACUUCGAGAACGACCCGAGCUCGCCAAUCGUCAUGACGAGCAAGAUCAAUGUGGUCGACUUGGCCGGGUCGGAGAAGCUCAGCAAGACGAACGCAACUGGCGAGACGGCAAAAGAAGGGUGCAACAUCAACCUGUCCCUGUCCGCGCUGGCCACGGUGAUCGACACAAUCGUGAAGGGGGCAAAGCACAUCCCAUACCGCGGCUCACCGCUGACGAUGCUGCUGAAGGACUCCCUGGGCGGUAAUGCCAAGACAGUGAUGUUCGCGAACGUCGGCCCCUCCGAUAAGAACCUGUCCGAGACGAUUUCGACGCUCCGGUUUGCGCUGCGCGCAAAGCAGAUCGAAAACAAGCCCAUCAAGAACAUGGACCCAAAGGAUGCCCGCAUCCAGGACCUGAUGGAGCAGAUCGAAGAUCUUAAGAAGCGGCUGGGCAACGUAGACCUCAACGUGGAGGACAGCCUGCGCCAGCGCAUCGAGGAGCUCGAGGUCGAGAACUCCGACCUUCGCGGCGGCAGCGAGAAGAACAGCAUCGAACUUGAGGAGCGGAACCGCUUCCUGCUGGCUCAGAUCGAGGAGAAAGAGAAGGAGGUGGUGGAGCGGCAGCACGAGAUUCGAAAAGAGAUGGAGCGGCGUGAGCUUGUGGAGUCGAACCUGUCGAACGAGUCCAGCCGGCUGCGCGAUCUACGGCUUGCCAAUGUCAACUUCCUCAAGCGUGUGUGCACCGAUGAGCAGCUGGAGCAGAUUCGGAUGCACAUGUCGCCUGACAAGGCAGCCAAGAAAAAAUCAGACGAGUGGGACGUGAAAGAGAUCGGCUUCUAUCUCCAUGGCUUUGCCGAGCAGUACGAGCAGUGGCGGAAGGUGACGUACACACAGGAGGACAUGGAGAAGUACGCUCGGCGCGCGAUGGCCGAACUGGAGAGACAGACGCAGCGCCAGCUGAACGACGCCGCGCACGCGAAGGAAGACUUGCAGCGUCAGCGGGACGAGGAGGCGGCGCGCCGCACCGCUGAGCAAGGCGCCACAUCGCAGCUCAAGGUAGAUCUCAACGCCUUACGAGAGGAGAACGUCAAGCUGCGGGAGAAGAUCGAGCGCGAUCAAGAGAAGAUCAAGGUGAAGCUGGCCAAGGCGAAGGAUGAGAUAAAGGCGCUGCAGGAUCAGGUCGAGUCAGCAAAGUCGAAAGUCACCGAGAAGGAGCGCGAAGUGAAGCGGUUGCGGCUGAUGCUGGAGGAGCAGGGGGGUGCUAGCAUUGUUAGCGCCGCCGGCGGUCCGCGCAGGUCGCUCAGCGUUCCUGGGCAAGACCCAACGGAGUGGGGCAACGGAGGGGAGCGUGCUGCCAUAAUGCGUGAGUUAGAGGCGGCGCGCCACGCCAAGUCCGUGCUCGAGAACCGCAUCAAGGAGACGAACGUGUCCCUGCGCCGCUUCGGCAUCUGCAUCGCCGACCCGCAGAGCCUCGAGGGCGCAGAGGCGACCACCGCGAACGAGGUGCAGGCGUUUGUGCUGGCGGCGACCGAGGAGGAGCCAGUCGACGGUGACGUAGUAGCGCAGCUGCAGCAGCAGCUGCGCACCAAGCAGCGCCUCGCAGAGCUCAUGCAUCAGCACCAGAUGCGGCUCAAUGACAUGAUCUGCAAGUACGAACUCCUCAAGACCGGCCAUGUUACAGCGUACUCGGCGGCGACAGGUAGCGCGGCCGCUGGUGCUGUCUCUGCGGGUGUCGCCCAAGGGAUACCGGCCGAUAUGAACGGCAUCGGCGGCAUCGAUGAAGCCACCGCCAACCAGGUGAGGGAGCUGCUGCAGCGCAAGGAGGACCAGAUGGAGGCGAUGCGGCUGGAGAAGGACCAGGCCUGCGACAAGCUCGUCAAGAAGCUGAACAAGUCGGAGCGCAAGCUGCGGGAGCUGGAGUCUAUGCUGGAGGAGGAGCGCACGCAGUUCACCGAGGAGAAGGCCGAGAUGACGAAGGAGGUGGCCGAGCUGCAGAGCUACAACCAGCAACUCGCCCUCGAGCUCGAGAACGCGCGCAGCCAACUCGAGUUUGUCAAGGCGGAGAUGGCCAGCGCCGUACGCGCCAAGGAAAGCGAGGUGGACUACUACAAGACCCAGGUGGAGGAGGCGAACCAGCGCCUCGACGACAUCCGCAACACCGCCGCCGAGUUCGAGGAGCAGCGCAAGAGCUACCAGAGGCUGCAGGAGCAAGUGGCGCGAACCGAAGACGCCCUCGCCAUCAAGAACGAGGAGCUUGAGAGCAACCGCCAGAUGGUGCAGUGGUCCAACCGGCAGCUCGAGAAGGAGAAGCAGAAGAAUGACGAGCUGGAGCAGGCGCUGCAGGACAAGCAGCUGGAGCUGCGCCAGCAGGAGCAGAACUUCCAUGCCGAAAUGGCGGAUCGUUUGAACGCACUGGCGGCCAGCAACAACCGUCGUCUCGCGGAGAACGCCGCGCAAUGCGAGGAGCGCAUCAACGAAGAGCGCAUGAAGGAAAAGGCGCUGCAGAAGAAGAUCAAGAAUGCCAAAACGACAGCCAGCAAGGCUGCACAGCGCUACGACGAGAUGAUCCUGGAGAACGAGGCGCUGCUGUCGAAGCUAGAGGAGCUGAAGGUAACCUCGAUGAAGAUGUAUCUUGAGCGGCAGGAGUCUCAGCGCGAGCAAGACUACCGACCGGGCAACACCAUUCGGUCGCGCGGGCUUUGAUGCGUGUGCCGGUAUAAUAACAGGGGCGUGCAGGCCGUACCCCUCUCCCCCUCUUUUCCUCCCCAGCUCGAGAAGGGAGAGCAGACGGGCUCUCUGGCGCACUCUCACAGACAAGCACAGAAGCCUGUUACUACCUCUGCCCCUCCUCCUCUUCACAGUCGGCCCUUUUUUUUUGCCGUGUUGCCAUUCUUUAGCGGUAUUUUGGUGCUUGGUAUUGCCAUAUCUGUUACACGCACCUUCUCCUGUCCCCCGGCCCUAUGGCUCGAGGUGUGUCUGAUGGGAUCCAGUCGCUUGCCUGCUUUGCUGGUGCCUAUCUCUAUUUCUCUACAGGAAUGUGUGUGUGUGUGUGUGUGUGUCUAAGCGCUGGUAUGGACAGGCGCUUGCUGCUAUUGGGUCUUUGUUUUUCUGGCACGUUCAUUCUCCUCUGUUAUCAAGGGCCUCCCUUCCCUCCCGUACCCGUUCUCCGUCCUCCGUCGUUUUUUUUUUUCUUCCCGCUGUUUUAUUAUUAUUACGGCGCACAGAUUGGACUGUCGCCCUCUCGGGGUGUUCCUUUGCACACACACACACACAUAUGUGUGUGUAUUUUUUGAAAAUCCUUUGUCCGGCGAUGAAUCUGGCCUUGUCGUGACUUUCUGUGUUGCGCGUGUUGUUUUCCUGUCUAUGUGUCGUCCUUCAUGCUGUUGGUAAAGUGGGGCCGGGCUCUUCGCUCUCCCCCUUCUGCUCUCCUUUUUCCUCCUCCGCGUCGUGUUUUACCUUUUUUUGUUUGGUCUGUGUCUGCAUGUUGCGUUUCUUCUGUCCUGUUCUGGGCAUCCUUCUCCGGAAGAUGUCAAUCCCCUUCCCUGUCUGCGUGCACACAUGCAUGUGGGUGGUGUGUACGUACGUAUAUGUGCUUGAUGUGGAAACAAAAGGAGGCGCAAAAGAACGAAGACACAAUUCAGCAACGCACAAGGAAUUAGAUUUUGGCGGGGUGCUGACAUACACGCACACACAAACACAUCGUCUUUUUUUUUCCAAUGUAUUUUGGUUCUUUCUUGCGUCCAUCACUUUUCUCCCUCUCUCCCCCUUCUCCGUAGCGUACGCGGCGGUGCACGACGCAUCGCAUGUGCUUCUGAAGGCAGUAGGCCCUCCGACAAGCGCGCAGAAAGGAAC